This is a long non-coding RNA of Lycium barbarum (goji berry), 789 nucleotides long. RefSeq lists it as uncharacterized. The transcript is spliced from 3 exons. Lineage: Eukaryota; Viridiplantae; Streptophyta; Magnoliopsida; Solanales; Solanaceae. The record is from RefSeq and is a predicted model, not a curated record.
GCCAAAUCAAAGUGGAAGCCCUCCAAACGAAUAUUUUUAAGAAAACGUUUUCGGGUGACCUGACUUCAAGGGGAAAACACGGUAUUAUAAGUUUGGAAUUUGGAAAAAUACCAAGAAAUAAAAGUUGUAGAUAAUUGAAUUAGCUUUCCAACCAUAGGUCGUGGGUUCCCAGGUGACAUCGGUACAAGGAGAUAUGGACGUUUUAAGGUCGAAAGGUCAGUGGGCUAGGCCCAACUCGGGAUCAACCGGGUUGGCCCAAAAAAAAAAAAAAAGAGAAAAUUUAGGCCCAAAAGUGAGGUUGGCCGGCCAUGGUGUAAUGGCCCAAGCCCAUGGGAAUUUUCCAUGUGGAAAAUUAAUAUAAGGGAUCAUUUAAGUUGCCUUGAAACAUUUAGAAACUUCAAGAACACUUGAGAAAAAGGAAAGAAGGAGAAAUCUCCAAGGCCAUUUCGGCCAAGUGCAAAAAUUGCCAAGAAAAUUGACAAAAAUUUCUUCAAAAAUUAUUUUCUACCAAUUAAAGGAUUCCUAGCAAGGUGGAGUGGUCUUUGGAGCAAGAAAAAUCCAUAUUCUAGCAAGUUGCAAGUCUUAGCUAAGUGAAAGAUCAAGGAAGAAGAUUUCGGCGGAUUUGCAACUUGAAUUUGGAAUAGCAAAAGGAGCGGAAAGAGGUCAGCAGACAGGCGGAUUUGGUUCCUAGGAGCCCUACCAGCAAUACUUGUCAGCGCUCCAGUUUCCCCGGAGCCUCAGUUUCUUGGUACUAUUUUGUGUAUAUAUUCGGGCACGACAGUACUCGGC